UACGGAGGAUCCAAGCGUUAUCCGGAUUUAUUGGGUUUAAAGGGUGCGUAGGCGGCUUAUUAAGUCAGGGGUGAAAGACGGUGGCUCAACCAUCGCAGUGCCCUUGAUACUGAUGGGCUUGAAUACACUUGAGGUAGGCGGAAUGUGACAAGUAGCGGUGAAAUGCAUAGAUAUGUCACAGAACACCAAUUGCGAAGGCAGCUUACUAAGGUGCAAUUGACGCUGAGGCACGAAAGCGUGGGGAUCAAACAGG
Molecule: ribosomal RNA, 253 nt
Filed under: uncultured bacterium
Lineage: Bacteria
Description: partial 16S ribosomal RNA
Rfam family: Bacterial small subunit ribosomal RNA
Source: RNAcentral